This 579-nucleotide long non-coding RNA is filed under the name Gossypium raimondii (Peruvian cotton). Its description in RNAcentral is "long non-coding RNA (GRAI_LNC003156)". The record is from RNAcentral. Lineage: Eukaryota; Viridiplantae; Streptophyta; Magnoliopsida; Malvales; Malvaceae.
UUUAUUUUUUCUUUUCUCUGUUGCUGUUGAUGUUGUUGUUUCUGUUUCUUUCUCUUUUGUUUUUGCAUGCACUUUCACAUGAUGGUGGCAAGGAGCUCUUUGGUCAACCAUGGUGGGGAAUCGCAUUUUUUUCCAUUUCGAUGAAAGGAGAACAGACCUCGGGUGGCGCGCUUACUGAUGUGGCAGAGAUGACGGCUGGAGGGAGUUUAGGGUUCUAGGGUUUUUUUUCUUUUUUUUUAAGUUUUGAGCUAUUGGCUAUUUGGGCUUUAGGGUUUUGUUUUUUUUUGUGUAUUUUGGCUUGUAUUUUGUAAAUGGACUUUUUUCGACUUUUAUUAAUUUUCUGGUUUAUUUAUUUUAUGUUUUUGUUUUGGUUUAGUUUGGGCCGGAUAAAAAUAGGUCUCUAAAAAACUUAAGUAGUAUAUAAACUUAAGUUCUGCCUAAGUUAAUGAAAACCAAGAUUUUUGAGAGUUUGAUAGAGAAAAAUUUUGAUCAAGUUAGGAGCAUGUACGUGUGUAUUAUUUCUGUAAGCAAUCAAAAGAGUCUCUUGAGUUGCAAAGUUAAGCUUUCGAUGGGGAAACU